Molecule: non-coding RNA, 503 nt
Organism: Pelobates cultripes (western spadefoot toad)
Lineage: Eukaryota; Metazoa; Chordata; Amphibia; Anura; Pelobatidae
Source: the annotation of a GenBank genome assembly
CUCAGGACUCCAAACGGGCAAUGGUAGGAAAAAAAGUGCUUUUAUUGAUAAAAGGUGAAUAAUCACCAUCAAUAUAAAAUAUAAUUAAAAGGAAAAACGGUAUGGUCCUACGCGUUUCGUUCUGCAAAGAACUUCAUCAGGGACCGUAUAUAAAAUAAAAUCAAUAUACAAUCAUGACAUGUAAAAAAACAUCUCCUAUUCCUCCCAUUCCCGAGUCCUCUUUAAAUAGGGCUAAUCCCUAUGUCCAUUGGUGGUUCCGUGGGUGGUGUCCAGUAUCCAUCACUUGAUUGGUUCUGUGGAGGAGCUGUUCAGCUGUUUCCCAUCUUUCUCGCAUUGCUGUAAUCAAAAUUGGCGCAUUCGGAUAACCGGAACCGGAAGUAAGGGUUGUACCGCACUUCCGCGUUCCACAUGCGUUCCACCUGCGGCUCAUAUGCGUUCCACCUUCGUUCCACUUCAACAUUGUUAUAUGAUCAUAAAAUUCAAUAAAGAGCAAUAUAUUCAAU